GACGUACGCUGGCGGCGUGCUUAACACAUGCAAGUCGAACGGAAAGGCCCUGCUUUUGUGGGGUGCUCGAGUGGCGAACGGGUGAGUAACACGUGAGUAACCUGCCCUUGACUUUGGGAUAACUUCAGGAAACUGGGGCUAAUACCGGAUAGGAGCUCCUGCUGCAUGGUGGGGGUUGGAAAGUUUCGGCGGUUGGGGAUGGACUCGCGGCUUAUCAGCUUGUUGGUGGGGUAGUGGCUUACCAAGGCUUUGACGGGUAGCCGGCCUGAGAGGGUGACCGGCCACAUUGGGACUGAGAUACGGCCCAGACUCCUACGGGAGGCAGCAGUGGGGAAUAUUGCACAAUGGGCGGAAGCCUGAUGCAGCAACGCCGCGUGCGGGAUGACGGCCUUCGGGUUGUAAACCGCUUUCGCCUGUGACGAAGCGUGAGUGACGGUAAUGGGCAAAGAAGCACCGGCUAACUACGUG
RNAcentral lists this ribosomal RNA (468 nucleotides) under uncultured bacterium. RNAcentral's name for it is "partial 16S ribosomal RNA". It matches the Rfam family "Bacterial small subunit ribosomal RNA", at positions 28 to 507 of the family's 1533-position model. The record is from RNAcentral.